UACGUAGGGGGGCUAGCGUUGUCCGAAUUUAUUGGGCGUAAAGAGCGUGUAGGCGGCCAGAUAGGUCUGCUGUGAAAACUCGAGGCUCAACCUCGAGCUGUCGGCGGAAACCAUCCGGCUAGAGUUCGGUAGGGGAGACUGGAAUUCCUGGUGUAGCGGUGAAAUGCGCAGAUAUCGGGAAGAACACCCGUGGCGAAGGCGGUUCUCUGGGACGGUACUGACGCGAGACGCGAAAGCGUGGGGAGCGAACAGG
RNAcentral lists this ribosomal RNA (253 nucleotides) under uncultured bacterium. Its description in RNAcentral is "partial 16S ribosomal RNA". It matches the Rfam family "Bacterial small subunit ribosomal RNA", at positions 524 to 776 of the family's 1533-position model. The record is from RNAcentral.